RNAcentral lists this ribosomal RNA (418 nucleotides) under Favella ehrenbergii. Its description in RNAcentral is "partial Bacterial large subunit ribosomal RNA". It matches the Rfam family "Bacterial large subunit ribosomal RNA", at positions 175 to 649 of the family's 2925-position model. The record is from RNAcentral. Lineage: Eukaryota; Ciliophora; Spirotrichea; Tintinnida; Xystonellidae.
AAGAGCAAACCCGGGGAACUGAAACAUCUAAGUACCCGGAGGAAAGGAAAUCAAUUGAUACUCCCCUAGUAGCGGCGAGCGAACGGGGACCAGCCGAGCCUUGAGCGUGACUAGAAUGUGCUGGAAAGCACAGCCAUAGCGGGUGACAGCCCCGUAUAGGAAGCGUGAUGGGACGUAUUAAGUAGGGCGGGACACGUGAAAUCCUGUCUGAAGAUCGGAGGACCACCUUCGAAGGCUAAGUACUCCUUACUGACCGAUAGUGAACCAGUACCGUGAGGGAAAGGUGAAAAGCACCCCGACGAGGGGAGUGAAACAGUUUCUGAAACCGGACGCCUACAAGCAGUCGGAGCCGCCUUGCGCGGUGACGGCGUACCUUUUGUAUAAUGGGUCAGCGACUUAUUUUCAGUGGCGAGCUUAA